CCCUUAGAUGCCCUGGGCUGCACGCGCGCUACACUGAUGUGUCCAGUAAGCACCUAACCUCUUCCGAAAGGAACGGGUAACCUUUGCAAAGCACAUCGUGAUGGGGAUAGAUUAUUGCAAUUAUUAGUCUUGAACGAGGAAUUCCUAGUAAGCACAAGUCAUCAGCUUGUGUUGAUUACGUCCCUGCCCUUUGUACACACCGCCCGUCGCUCCUACCGAUUGAAUGUUCCGGUGAGCUCUUCGGACUGCGCGGUCUGCAGUUUCUGCGUUCCGUGCGGAAAGUUGCGCAAACCUUAACAUUUAGAGGAAGGAGAAGUCGUAACA
This 324-nucleotide ribosomal RNA is filed under the name uncultured eukaryote. RNAcentral describes it as "partial 18S ribosomal RNA". It matches the Rfam family "Eukaryotic small subunit ribosomal RNA", at positions 1470 to 1796 of the family's 1831-position model. The record is from RNAcentral.